AGCAGCCGCGGUAAUUCCAGCUCCAAUAGCGUAUAUUAAAGUUGUUGCAGUUAAAAAGCUCGUAGUUGAAUUUCGAGACCGGUCUACUGGUCGUGCUUUUGUACGUACUGGUAUAAUCGGUUUCUCUCUUCUGACGAACUAUAAUGCCAUUAAUUUGGUGUUUUAGGGAAUCAGGACUGUUACUUUGAAAAAAUUAGAGUGUUUAAAGCAGGCUCACGCUUGAAUACAUUAGCAUGGAAUAACGAAAUAGGACGUUUGAUUCUAUUUUGUUGGUUUCUAGGAUCGACGUAAUGAUUAAUAGGGAUAGUUGGGGGCAUUAGUAUUCAAUUGUCAGAGGUGAAAUUCUUGGAUUUAUUGAAGACUAACUACUGCGAAAGCAUUUGCCAAGGAUGUUUUCAUUAAUCAAGAACGAAAGUUAGGGGAUCGAAGACGAUCAGAUACCGUCGUAGUCUUAACCAUAAACUAUGCCGACUAGGGAUCGGAUGAUGU
RNAcentral lists this ribosomal RNA (489 nucleotides) under uncultured Glomeromycotina. RNAcentral describes it as "SSU rRNA". It matches the Rfam family "Eukaryotic small subunit ribosomal RNA", at positions 569 to 1063 of the family's 1831-position model. The record is from RNAcentral. Lineage: Eukaryota; Fungi; Glomeromycota.